Molecule: long non-coding RNA, 271 nt
Organism: Gorilla gorilla gorilla (western lowland gorilla)
Lineage: Eukaryota; Metazoa; Chordata; Mammalia; Primates; Hominidae
Exons: 3
Source: RefSeq, a predicted model, not a curated record
GCCUACUCCACACCUAGGCUAUAUGGGAUAGCCUAUUGCUCCUAGGCUACAAACCUGUAAAGUAUGUGACUGUACUGAACAUUGUAGGCAGUUGUAACACCAUGGUCUUUAGAAGCAAUAACACGCAUUGAGCUGUCAUCUGCUAUGAUAACAAUGCCUCCUUCUGGAAUACCUCUGAAAGGCCCACCACAAACACGAAGCAAGUUGGACCCGCACUCCAGCCUGUGGAGAUGAACCUAGGACUGUGAUUCUUCUAUCCAGUAUGUUGGCU